Molecule: small nucleolar RNA, 108 nt
Organism: Magnolia sinica
Lineage: Eukaryota; Viridiplantae; Streptophyta; Magnoliopsida; Magnoliales; Magnoliaceae
Source: RefSeq, a predicted model, not a curated record
UAACCAUGAUGUGGGCAAGUGAGUAAAAGGUCUUUGAAACUCUCCCAAGCUUGGAAAAAUAAUUUAUUCCCCCUUUUGAAAAAAUGACAUGAUUUCCUGUUUAAGUGC